AUAUUAAUUUUCAAAGUGUCCGAUGAAAUGCAUUGGCGUUCCAGUUAUUUUUGUGUUUCAAUGCAUAAAACAGCGCUUUUUUGAAAGAAGUAACUGGUACGCCAAUGCAUUUCGUCGGACACUUUGAAAAUU
Molecule: small nucleolar RNA, 132 nt
Organism: Dermacentor silvarum
Lineage: Eukaryota; Metazoa; Arthropoda; Arachnida; Ixodida; Ixodidae
Product: small nucleolar RNA SNORD90
Exons: 1
Source: RefSeq, a predicted model, not a curated record